This 256-nucleotide ribosomal RNA is filed under the name uncultured bacterium. Its description in RNAcentral is "partial 16S ribosomal RNA". It matches the Rfam family "Bacterial small subunit ribosomal RNA", at positions 524 to 776 of the family's 1533-position model. The record is from RNAcentral.
UACGUAGGGGCCUAGCGUUGUCCGGAAUUAUUGGGCGUAAAGAGCUCGUAGGCGGUUCGGCAAGUCGGAUGUGAAAUCUCCACGCUUAACGUGGAGGGGCCAUUCGAAACUGCUGUGACUCGAGUCCGGUAGGGGAGUGUGGAAUUCCCGGUGUAGCGGUGAAAUGCGCAGAUAUCGGGAAGAACACCCGGUGGCGAAGGCGGCUCUCUGGGACGGUACUGACGCUGAGACGCGAAAGCGGUGGGGAGCGAACGAG